AGCAGCCGCGGUAAUUCCAGCUCCAAUAGCGUAUAUUAAAGUUGUUGCAGUUAAAAAGCUCGUAGUUGAAUUUCGGGAUCAAUUUAUCGGUCGUGCCAAUGGUAUGAACUGGUACAAUUGGUUUCUCCCUUCUGACGAAGCAUGAUGUCAUUAAUUUGGUGUCGUGGGGAAUCAGGACUGUUACUUUGAAAAAAUUAGAGUGUUUAAAGCAAGCAUUAGCUUGAAUACAUUAGCAUGGAAUAAUGAAAUAGGACGUUUGAUCCUAUUUCGUUGGUUUCUAGGAUCGACGUAAUGAUUAAUAGGGAUAGUUGGGGGCAUUAGUAUUCAAUUGUCAGAGGUGAAAUUCUUGGAUUUAUUGAAGACUAACUACUGCGAAAGCAUUUGCCAAGGAUGUUUUCAUUAAUCAAGAACGAAAGUUAGGGGAUCGAAGACGAUUAGAUACCGUCGUAGUCUUAACCAUAAACUAUGCCGACUAGGGAUCGGAUGAUGUUAAUUUUUUAAUGACUCA
This 508-nucleotide ribosomal RNA is filed under the name uncultured fungus. RNAcentral's name for it is "SSU rRNA". It matches the Rfam family "Eukaryotic small subunit ribosomal RNA", at positions 569 to 1078 of the family's 1831-position model. The record is from RNAcentral. Lineage: Eukaryota; Fungi.